CCUACGGGAGGCAGCAGUGGGGAAUAUUGGGCAAUGGGCGCAAGCCUGACCCAGCAACGCCGCGUGAAGGAAGAAGGCUUUCGGGUUGUAAACUUCUUUUCUCAGGGACGAAGCAAGUGACGGUACCUGAGGAAUAAGCCACGGCUAACUACGUGCCAGCAGCCGCGGUAAUCCGUAGGUGGCAAGAGUUCUGCGGAUUUACGGGGUGUAAAGGGCGUGUAGGCGGGACUGCAAGUCAGAUGGGAAAACCACGGGCUCAACCUGUGGCCUGCAGUUGAAACUGUAGUUCUUGAGUACUGGAGAGGUAUGCGGAAUUCGUAGUGUAGCGGUGAAAUGCUUAGAUAUUAGGAGGAACACCAGUGGCGAAGGCGGCCUGCUGGACAGCAACUGACGCUGAGGCGCGAAAGCGUGGGGAGCAAACAGGAUUAGAUACCCCGGUAGUC
RNAcentral lists this ribosomal RNA (443 nucleotides) under uncultured bacterium. RNAcentral's name for it is "partial 16S ribosomal RNA". It matches the Rfam family "Bacterial small subunit ribosomal RNA", at positions 338 to 795 of the family's 1533-position model. The record is from RNAcentral.